RNAcentral lists this ribosomal RNA (504 nucleotides) under uncultured bacterium. RNAcentral describes it as "partial 16S ribosomal RNA". It matches the Rfam family "Bacterial small subunit ribosomal RNA", at positions 29 to 523 of the family's 1533-position model. The record is from RNAcentral.
AUUGAACGCUGGCGGCAGGCCUAACACAUGCAAGUCGAACGGUAGCACAGAGAGCUUGCUCUCGGGUGACGAGUGGCGGACGGGUGAAUAACGUCUGGGAAACUGCCCGAUGGAGGGGGAUAACUACUGGAAACGGUAGCUAAUACCGCAUAACGUCGCAAGACCAAAGUGGGGGACCUUCGGGCCUCACACCAUCGGAUGUGCCCAGAUGGGAUUAGCUAGUAGGUGGGGUAGUGGCUCACCUAGGCGACGAUCCCUAGCUGGUCUGAGAGGAUGGCCGGCCAGAAUGGAACGGAGGCACGGUCCAGGGGCCUACGGGAGGCAGGAGUGGGGAGUAGUGAACAUUGGGCGCAAGCCGGAUGCAGCCAUGCGGCGUGUAGGAAGAGGGCCUGGGGGUUGUAAAGUACUUUCAGCGGGGAGGAAGGCGGUGGAGUUAAUAACUUCACCGAUUGACGUUACCCGCAGAAGAAGCACCGGCUAACUCCGUGCCAGCAGCCGCAGUAA